CACGGGGGGAGCAAGCGUUGUUCGGAAUCACUGGGCGUAAAGGGCGUGUAGGCGGUCAAGUAAGUGGAAUGUGAAAUCCCCCGGCUUACCCGGGGACCGGCAUCCCAUACUGCUUGGCUUGAGUACGGGAGAGGAUGUGGGAAUUCCUGGUGUAGCGGUGAAAUGCGUAGAUAUCUGGAGGAACACCGGUGGCGAAGGCGGCAUCCUGGACCGGUAUUGACGCUGAGGCGCGAAAGCCAGGGGAGCAAACGGG
This 253-nucleotide ribosomal RNA is filed under the name uncultured bacterium. RNAcentral's name for it is "partial 16S ribosomal RNA". It matches the Rfam family "Bacterial small subunit ribosomal RNA", at positions 524 to 776 of the family's 1533-position model. The record is from RNAcentral.